CAGGCGCUCAGUCGGUGUGGAGUUGGACUCGGAUGGAGGUGAUGCGAGUGAAAAAAAAAAAUACUCACCAAGAGCCAAGAGCAGGAGGAAAACCGCAUCAGUCCGCCUCGACAGGACACUGAAAUCCUGCUGUUAAAAAAAAAAGAGAAAAAAAAAAACACAAAAAAAACCAAAAGCAGGGCGUGGAGGAAAAAUCGUGUUUUCUGCCCUCCCGCUGACUUUUGUGACUCAUCGUUUCAGCCAGAUGCUGUUCCGGACCAUCUGAAGAUGCAAGACUUCCAGUUGGUCUGAUUAAUGAGGUGGCAGUAAUGCAAUAAAGCAGAUCCGCUCAGCUUAUGUUAAAGCCUAAACACA
This is a long non-coding RNA of Stegastes partitus (bicolor damselfish), 354 nucleotides long. RefSeq lists it as uncharacterized. The record is from RefSeq and is a predicted model, not a curated record. Lineage: Eukaryota; Metazoa; Chordata; Actinopteri; Pomacentridae. The transcript is spliced from 3 exons.